This 505-nucleotide long non-coding RNA is filed under the name Homo sapiens (human). Its description in RNAcentral is "HSALNT0097125". Lineage: Eukaryota; Metazoa; Chordata; Mammalia; Primates; Hominidae. The record is from RNAcentral.
GGAGUGCCCUGCUGUACCAUAUAAUUACUGAGUCCUACUUGUAUGCUUAUAAAACACAAAUACUGAAACAUUUCCUAAUAUUGUGCCAUUAUUUCUCCUAGCCUGGACCCAGCUUUCAAGUAUUCUGCCUCAAGUCUUCUCCAGAACAAGAUGAGAGAAAUCCAACCUAAAAUAACUAAAAAUGACAAGACAGGGAAAUAACUUUAUAUUUGGAAUAAUUUAAAUCUCAGAAAAACUGCAAAAAUAUCAUACAGAACUUUAAAUACCCUUCAUCCAGAUUUCCCAAAUAUAAUCAACUUGAGAAAUGUCAAAAAUAUCAAGCUCAUGAAAGACAAACACUGAGGAACUGUUCCAUAUUGAAGCUAAAGCAACAUGGCGACACACACAAGUAAUCUUGGACUGCAUAGACCUAUAAAGGAAACUGGAACAACUGAUGAAAUCUGAAUGGGAUCUUAUGAAAUUGAAUGGUAAUUUCUUGAUUGUGAUUAUAUUACAGGGUAUAUAG